RNAcentral lists this ribosomal RNA (253 nucleotides) under uncultured bacterium. RNAcentral's name for it is "partial 16S ribosomal RNA". It matches the Rfam family "Bacterial small subunit ribosomal RNA", at positions 524 to 776 of the family's 1533-position model. The record is from RNAcentral.
UACGGAGGGGGCAAGCGUUGUUCGGAAUUACUGGGCGUAAAGGGCUCGUAGGCGGCCAACUAAGUCCGACGUGAAAUCCCCAGGCUUAACCUGGGAACUGCGUCGGAUACUGGAUGGCUUGAAUCCGGGAGAGGGAUGCGGAAUUCCAGGUGUAGCGGUGAAAUGCGUAGAUAUCUGGAGGAACACCGGUGGCGAAGGCGGCAUCCUGGACCGGCAUUGACGCUGAGGAGCGAAAGCCAGGGGAGCAAACGGG